Molecule: long non-coding RNA, 553 nt
Filed under: Homo sapiens (human)
Lineage: Eukaryota; Metazoa; Chordata; Mammalia; Primates; Hominidae
Description: novel transcript
Source: RNAcentral
AUUUGACAUGGCAGCUCCACCUUCACCCCCACCUCUGGUCCAUGUUGCCUGUUCUUUGUGAUUCUUUUUGCUCCUUCGCUUUUCACUGGAUCCUGGUGGGAACAAGUCCCGAAGUGGAGAGCAGAGCCAGAAGGAUUGAUUUCCAAAAACUCCUGUUACAUGAGGAAGACACCAAGAAGAGCAAAGAAAAGGAGCCAGGGUGGCUCUUCCUCAGGUGAAGUGGAUAUUUCUCGGUGGAUUAAUCUGUCUCUUUCCUUUCUGAAAUGCCAGCUAUCUCUUCCAAAUGCAUGACAAGGAAGUUCUCAUCAAGAAGGCAAGGCAAUACAGAAGUGUUCCACACAGGGACAUUGCAAAGACAAGCAAGUCAUCACACUGGAGAUUUUUCCUUCCAGGAAAUUGAGAAAGAUUUUCAGGACUUUGAGUUUCAGUGGCAAGAAGAUGAAAGAAAUGGCCAUGAAGCACUCAUGACAGAGAUAAAAAAGUUGACAGGAUUUCCAAAGACUCAUGUUACGUGAGGAAGCCACCAAGAAGAGCAAAGAAAAGGAGCCAGGGA